RNAcentral lists this ribosomal RNA (570 nucleotides) under Triticum aestivum (bread wheat). RNAcentral describes it as "partial small subunit ribosomal RNA". The record is from RNAcentral. Lineage: Eukaryota; Viridiplantae; Streptophyta; Magnoliopsida; Poales; Poaceae.
AUGACGACGACGACGACAAGGAGGAGGCCCUUCAAGGUACCUGAGAUGGCUCUGAGGGUGUGCGUGAUCCCCCUCGCCUUGGCCUCCCUGUGGGAGAUGGCCACCAACAAGCAAGCCGAUGACACCUACGGGGAGAUCAGCUUCUCCAACCUCUCCGGCUUCAAGUAUUUAGUUUUCAUUAACGCUGUCACUGCCGCCUAUUCCGUGGUCUCCAUCCUGAUGUCAUCCUUCAAGUCCCUCGCUCGCUUCGAUUGGCUCAUUUUCCUCCUGGAUCAGGCGGCGGCGUACCUGCUGGUGACAUCGUGCUCGGCGGCGGCGGAGCUGGUGUACCUGGCGAGGGAGGGCGACCGGGAGGUGUCGUGGGGCGAGGUGUGCUCCUACUUCGGUCGGUUCUGCGGCAGGGCCACCGUGUCCGUGGCGCUGCAGGCUGCCGCGCUGCUCUGCUUCGUCGCGCUCUCCCUCGUCUCCGCCUUCCGGGUCUUCCGCGAGUUCGACGCCCCUGGUGCUCAUGUUGAUUGCUCGGGGGACUCUGACUCCAAGCAGGCGCAAGAGCAAGAGGAAGGUAGAUGA